UAGGGAAUCUUCGGCAAUGGACGGAAGUCUGACCGAGCAACGCCGCGUGAGUGAAGAAGGUUUUCGGAUCGUAAAGCUCUGUUGUAAGAGAAGAACGAGUGUGAGAGUGGAAAGUUCACACUGUGACGGUAUCUUACCAGAAAGGGACGGCUAACUACGUGCCAGCAGCCGCGGUAAUACGUAGGUCCCGAGCGUUGUCCGGAUUUAUUGGGCGUAAAGCGAGCGCAGGCGGUUAGAUAAGUCUGAAGUUAAAGGCUGUGGCUUAACCAUAGUAGGCUUUGGAAACUGUUUAACUUGAGUGCAAGAGGGGAGAGUGGAAUUCCAUGUGUAGCAGUGAAAUGCGUAGAUAUAUGGAGGAACACCGGUGGCGAAAGCGGCUCUCUGGCUUGUAACUGACGCUGAGGCUCGAAAGCGUGGGGAGCAAACAGGAUUAGAUACCCUGGUAGUCCACGCUGUAAACGAUGAGUGCUAGGUGUUAGACCCUUUCCGGGGUUUAGUGCCGUAGCUAACGCAUUAAGCACUCCGCCUGGGGAGUACGACCGCAAGGUUG
Molecule: ribosomal RNA, 550 nt
Filed under: uncultured bacterium
Lineage: Bacteria
Description: bacterial SSU rRNA
Rfam family: Bacterial small subunit ribosomal RNA
Source: RNAcentral